UGAAUUCCAACGAAAUUCACAAUCAGCCGAAAGCUUUUGAGCAGCACAGCUUAUGCUAAUUCCGGAAGAUGCAAUCGAAAAUCGAACUUCAGUUCAAAUUCUUGCAACGGUAUGCUGUACGACGUAAUCAAAUGUUCAGUGAUCGCCUGAGAAAUAUUUUACAUUGCCUAGAUUCUGCUGGAGUUAACACAGAUCACCUGUUGAUAAAAUUCUUUUCAGGUGCUAGUAAGCAUCACGGAGAAAAACUAGGCUGGUUUGAAACAACAAAUCUGUAAGUUGUUUUUCUAUCUUUGCUGUUUGGCGGUUGAAACAAACUGGCUUGUUUGUUGUUUCUAAUAUUGGUUAGUAAAAUCCCUUCCGGUAGAAAUAAAUUUGGAAAUUUGUUGUUUUCUACAAACAUCAUGGUUUGUUUUUACUAAUCUUUGGGUUGACUGUUUCAUGUGUUUGUAAUAAAAAACAAACCACAAUUUUGGUUUGUUCCAACAAACAGCCCGGGUAAAAUCAAACCGAGUUUUUGUUUGAGGAAAAUUUAACAGGAAGUUUAGUUUGAAACAAACCAAAAUAGUAGUUUGUUUCAUUAGAACCAUCCCAGAAGCCUCGCUACUAGCUCUUUUCGUUCAGCCAUUUGAAGAGUCUUUGCGGACAUCAUACACUCCCUGUAUGCUCUUCUGUACUGAUGCUGCCGUUGCAACCCGAAGUUUGUGAUCAAAAAAAAGUCUCAUUUUUACAAGAUACACCAGGAAAAAAUCUCGAAAAACCUCGCAUAUUUCCAACACCAAGUAAAAGACGCAACCUUCUUGAAGGGCCACACCGUUUCUCCCGAGGUUUCACGCACUCGGGACUGAAGAAGCUAUGAUGGCGGAAUUGCGACCGUAGCUGAAGAAACCAAGCCAGGAUGAGAAGGAGCAGUGGAAAAACCAAGCUGAGCACUCGGCCAGGGCUUCAACCAGGACCACAAACUAGCAAUCAUUUCCCGUAAAAGAUCCCCACAAUAGAAAACGCUUGCUAGCCGGCCGCAUCACCAGCUCCUUCCAAAAGCAAUGAAUAUCAGGUUAAUUAUGGAAGCCGCUAUGGAGCACCCCAAAUAUCGCCGGAAAUCAAUCGAUCGAACGGUCAGCAUAAGCAGAUUGUUACAUCGGCAUUGGGAGGAGGCUGUUCCUGGGAGUACAACUGUAAAUAUCGGCAAUCUGGAGGUUGUUCUUCCGCUGAAAGGUUCAGUCUUGGACAUAUACAAAUACAAAAAAGAGGGGCAAAGCAAAAGCAAUUUUAACAAACCCGUUAGUUUAUUUCAAACGGAAGUUCCGGUUAAAUCAAACCUAAAUUUGGUAAAGACAAACAGUGAGUAUUAGUUGAAACAACUACCGACAUCGUUUGUUUUCUAACCUGUCAAAAUAAAACAACUGGCAUAUUGGUAAUUUCAAACAAAAGUUUGUUGAUAAUAACGGCAAAUUGACAAAAUCUACAACUGCCAACUUUAAUUAGUUUCAACUACCGCGAUAAGUAAAUUCAAACCAAUAUUUGGUUUGUGCCAAAUUCAAUCUGAAAUUCCGGUUGAAUUAAACUGAAAUUCGUUUGUGUUUAGUAAUAUUUUUUCUCCGUGAUGAAAAUAAAAAGAACGGAAUUUCGUUCUAAUGUUUAACCAAGAUCGUUAGUACACAGGGUACUCGAUCAAAUUUUUAUUAAUUAGUGUCAAACAGAUAUUUUAUCUUUAGUUGUUUAGAUUGCUUGUCAAAUAUUUGACCCGUGUACUGGAGUUGAAAUUCGGGUCCAGAUUCCUACUGGGGGGAAUUUAGCAGUAAAAUAAGGGCUAUUCGAGGUUUCCGAUGCAUGGCCAUUUAUCAGUUCUAUUGUUUUGUUUUAUAAGAAAUCAAAAUAAAAACUGUAUCACAAUCGAUACUUUAUUGCCCUUUGAUGGCAAUUGAGUAUUGCGACGUGCACUACACUAAGGUUAUGAGCAGGGAUAGGGUGCGACUCAAAACUCUUUGCGUGCCGCACACGCUGCUACGACACAGCACAACAAACCAGAAGGAGACGAGUACGUGCAAUCGGUUGUGUGUUGCUCGCUUACUUUGCCGCGCGCUGAAGCUCUCCUGUCUCUCACGCUUUGUCGUAUGCACUCUCUCGGUGCUUGUCUCCGUGCUUUGCACUUUGCAUGAUACUACGCAUGAUUGGUAAAAUUUCGAAUCAAACGACCUAUCACUUAUCAACCCUUGGCAAGCUUAAUAACUUUGUCGAAAACACAAACUAUUCAAUUAAUUUAUUAACUGAUUUUUUUUUUCUGUUUGGUGACAAGCACUGUCCCAAGCACCGUGCAUUACUCCCUGCGCCGUAGAGCUAGUGCUGCGGUUUGUCUCUCGUACAAUUACGAAAGCUCUCACUCAUACGUCUCUUGUCUCUCGGCAAAACGGGAGACAAGCACUUGAGAUUGUGCGAAGCACACACUUUUUUCGCACCGCACGGUGCAUGCCGUCAAUCCCUGAUAUGUCACAAUAGAUCUAAAAACUGGUCGCAGUGACAGACCCGAACAGGAAACAUGUUCCUUGUUCACUAUCGCCAUCUACUCAGUGGGUUUGCUUACCACAGCGUAAUUAGCAUUGGACGAUUAUGUUUCCGUGGCGAUGAUUGUUAUCGCAUUUUAUUCCAAGGGAUACGUCUGUUUGUCUGUGAUUGUAGCAUAGUUUGGUCAUCAUUUUCGGUUUCACAUGAAAGAAGUUCAUUAGUAGAAUCAAAAUACAGAAACAAUUUGUACUGUGUGCACUUCGUAAUUUAGUUGGACAAGGUUACCUCUUCCAUCUUAUGAAGCACGAUGCAUGCUCAUUAACCCUUUAUAAGGCCGAGAGAACCAGGCACGGAACCCACUCGUUCUACAUUGGAAUAUAAAGUACAUGUGGUGUAAUGAACAAAAACGUUUUUAUUUUCAAAAAAUUCGAUGGUCGAUUUUGUAUGAAAAAAAUUGGUCUAAAUUUCAACUUUUUGUCAACAAAGUUUAAAAUGUUGUGAUGUGUUUAUCAAUCAUGCUGAUUUUUUGACAGGUUAUUGCCCUAAUAUUCAUAAGUUAUUUGUGUGAAUUUGAACUCGUUUGGUCAAUUAUUUUGGACGAUAUGGCAAUUUUAGUACAUGGCCAUUUAUUAUAGUACAUUUUUUCAAAAGGCCGAGUUUCUAAAAGUAAAGAAGUAAACAAGUUGAAAUUUUGUCCACAAGUAAAAGGAACAUAGGCCUUUCAUUCCCCAUCAUUCGAUUCGCUCACCACAACAGAAGUUCGAGCUUAUGAACCUUAAUGCACUCAAAAAUGGCGGUUUUUGGAGAGACAUUUUGUUCUAAAAAAGCCCAUUCAUAUUUGUUAUGGCUCAAAAAAAUCAUGAGUGCUCACAAAGGCCUAAUGUGUCCCUCAGUUAAAACAGAAGUUGCAAAAAUUUUCUAAACGAACAGAAAAAAAUAUGUGUACAAGGUGGCAAUAUAGUUGCCACUGCCUUAUAAAGGGUUAACUUUCAAACACUAAAAGAACGUCGCAAACUUGCAAUUUUAUCAUUUGAAAACUACAUCGUUGCGCAACUAUUGAUUCGAUGGAACUUCUUUCAAAAUAUUUUUUUUGCACAUUUCUCGACAACUACGAAAUCGUAGUAUUUUUUAUAGAAACCAUCAUCGUUCCUAAAUUUGGUUCCAUCAAUAAUAUAAUGACAACUUACAAUACAUUUUGCGAAACUAAAGAUUUUAGAAUAACGAAAUCACAACUAAAAAAGCUAUUUGCACUCGUUAUUAGAAUUGAAAGAAGCAAACAAAUCUAGUUUUAAGCUCAAAUUGUAAUACAACGGUCUACUUAUGAUUGAUUGACUACAUGAAAUAAAUAAAUUUGGUCAGUUCUACAAUUUCUACAUGCUUCGUCGCUGAUCAGCUGCUGGUUAAUUUGACAGAAACCUUCGUUCAAAAUUUUUGCUCAAAAAGCAUUGCAAAUCCCCACACCGCCGCUUUACGCUAGUAUAUUCACCAAUUGCAUCGUAUCACACCAUCACACCGAAUGAUUUGCCUUUUCUUUCCCUACGGAUAAUCUGACUGC
Aedes albopictus (Asian tiger mosquito) is the source of this 4054-nucleotide long non-coding RNA. RefSeq lists it as uncharacterized. Lineage: Eukaryota; Metazoa; Arthropoda; Insecta; Diptera; Culicidae. The transcript is spliced from 3 exons. The record is from RefSeq and is a predicted model, not a curated record.